Coffea arabica (coffee) is the source of this 3783-nucleotide long non-coding RNA. RefSeq lists it as uncharacterized. The record is from RefSeq and is a predicted model, not a curated record. Lineage: Eukaryota; Viridiplantae; Streptophyta; Magnoliopsida; Gentianales; Rubiaceae.
UCCCACCGCGCCUCACGCGGCGUUCAUCUCCCGGUCUCUUUCUAACCGUGUCCCAAUCCAAUUGCUUAAAAGCCACAGGACAAGGAGUAGGUCCGGGCAGUUAUGGACCAUUGAUGCAAAAGCCAAAUCAAGAAAAUGCGGUUAAAACUUAGGGUGAAGUCCGGAAUUUGGAGUCCGCUGAGGAGCUCCGUACCGAUUGAGGCUACAUGUCUGCAUAUAGUUGGAUGAUCCUUUUCCCCGCUGGCCCUCUUACUGUUCUCUUAUACUAACAGUUUCUGCCAAGAAGAGCAACCGUGUCGAUUCAAACCUGUCUCUCUAAACUUGUUGUCCGUUCAUUUCAAAGACCGUCGUUACCUACACUUGGCUCUUGCAGGUAAAGAAGCCGAUCAAGCAUUUUGAAACAUCAUGCCUCGGCUUUGGCAAAUUGUAUUGAAAAUAAUUCUAACAACCCCAGCUUUGGCACUUAGAAAAGCGUCGAGACGAUUUCAGCGGAUGAUUAUCCAAUAUGAGAUGGAAGGCCUGGCUCCCGAGUAUGUGCUGCCAGAAAAGCUUUACAAGUUCUAUUCAUGAAAUAUUAAGUCAAGAGAAAUCCUAAUCUUACAUAUAAAAUAAGGGAGUUUAGUCUAGCAAUAUUUGGAUGGUAAGUUAUUUGAGAUUAUUUGGAAUAUUUUUACUGUAUCACUUUUUGUGAUGUGAUAUAUGUGAGAUAAAAAAGUAAUUGGGAAAAUAAAAAGGUGUAUUGGAAAUUGUGAAGAUGGUGUAAGCAAAUAAAAUUACGGAUAUAGAAAGCUGUCCAAACUAACCCAAUGGUUUUGGUCCCCUAUGGACAAUUUUAUGAAUUCAAUUGUGUAUGCUAUUGGUCAAGGUUAGUUUCAACUCUGAUAAUGUGAGACAUAAUAUGGUCCAAAUAUUUUUUGUGACUAUGUUUACCUUAUAAGUCAAUUAUACCUUUUGUUUCUACUACACUCCCUACUGAUUGGGAUGAUAUUGAGUGGGUGGACAAUUUGUGAAUUCAAUUGUGUAAGCUACUGUUCAAGGUUAGUUUCAACUCUGAUAAUGUGAGACAUAAUAUGGUCCAAAUAUUUUUUGUGACUACGUUAACCUUAUAAGUCAAUUAUACCUUUUGUUUCUUCUACACUCUGUGCUGAUUGGGAUGAUAGUGAGUGGAUGGACAAUUUUGUGAAUUCAAUUGUGUAUGCUAUUGGUCAAGGUUAGUUUCAACUCUGAUCAUGUGAGACAGAAUAUGGUCCAAAUAUUUUUUGCGACUACGUUAAUCUUAUAAGUCAAUUAUACCUUUUGUUUCUUCUAUAAUCUGUACUUAUUGGGAUGAUAUUUGAGUCUUUGAUAAUUAUAUAUUAAGUUGAAUCUAGGCUCUCUUUCUGGUAUGUGUUAUCCAAGUUGGCUGCCCAUAGUUAUGUUAGUGGGCUAAAAUUUGGGUAAAUUCGAUUUUCAAAAAUUCAAUAGUCUAAAUUGUGCCACACCACUUCAUCAAAUAAUGUAGCAUAAUUUGAAUCAUUGAAUUUUUAAAAACCAGGUCUAUCCAAAUGUGAGCCCAUACAACGUACUUUUACCUUCAUCUUGUUAUUAUUUAGUUAUCCCGAGAAAAACUUAUUCUCUUAACUCAAAUCUCUCUAAAUACAUAACCAAUUAAUAAAUGCAUAAAAGCUCCAAGUUUCAAGUUAAUUUUCCUCAAUCCUUUGGAUUUGAACCUCCAAUGGUGUGCUUAAACCUAAUAUUUUUUACAACUGUUUAAUAGUUGCUUGAAGUAAUAUAGAUGGUUGAAUUGAUUUUUUUGUAUUAAAUUAAAAGUUUAGCAUGGAAAAGUCAGUACUUUGAACAUCUUAGUGAUUCAUUAUUAAAAAAAAAAUGGAUCUUAUCAUUAGUUACAUGUAUAAAUUGAACUUAUAUUCCUUAGUUUCCAAAAAAAAAAAAAAAGAGACUUAUACUCUUUAGAAUAGCUACUUGAGUGCAAUAAUUUAGUUUCAUGAAUUGUACUAUUUAAUGUGUAGCUAUGUUUGAUUGAUGAAUAGAUUUAAUACUUGAAGUUGCACUACUUUAACAUUGCUAAAUCAAUGAUCAUUAAUCUUAAUUGCUUUCAAUUCAAAAUUAAAUUACAUUAAUCGAAAUGGGAUAUGCACAAGUUUCUAUUUCUCUCAAACACGCGCACACACACAUUUCUUUCUCUCUAAAUGCACAAAUAAAUGUAAUUUUUCAAGACAUAAAUAUAUAGUAGUAUUUUUGCGAUAUUUCAAUUCAACACUGAGUUUGUUUGGACAAGCCAAAUUUGGUUUGCAAAAUUUGUUUUCACAAAUCCCAAUCACCUUUUUAUCUUCCCAAUCACCUUUUUAUCUCACAUACAUCACAUCACAAAAAGUGCUACAGUAAAUAUCUCAAAUAAAUCAUCCAAAUAAACUCUUAUCCAAACAAACUCACUAUAAUUCAGUUAGCUAUUAAACAGGUACUAUAUAACCUAAUCAAUUCAAUAACUUAAUAUACUAUCUUCCGCACUUCAUUUUAAUAUUUCAAAAUUCAGAUCUCUUAUCAAGCGGGCCCAGUGGUCUGAUGAUUGAAGCUGUCCUUUCGAAACCGACAGAUUCGUAAUGAAAGCUCGAAAAAAUGAAUUAGCUCGCCCUCAAAUUAACAGUUUCUACAUUAAUGAAUUAACUCGUCAUGAUGUUCUUUUAUGCUUCAUCUUUGUUGUUCAUUUAACUUUUUUGUUUUUGUUAAAAAUUUUUAAUAUCGGUUUCAAUUAAAAAAUGUGGGAUGGACUAAAAUGGACGCGACAAGAAUUCAUAGGACCGGAUAAACCCGAAAUUUUGCGUAGAAUAAAGAAUCGGACUUUGCGGAUCAGAAAAAAUUAGAGGACAUUACGAGAGAUUAAGAAAACUUGAAUAUAUUAGGAAUCACUACCUUUUUGUUUCCCUCCUUUAUAUUUGAGUGGGAGGAAGUUCACCAACUCAUCAUUGUAAAUGCAGAUAAGCCAAGAGGCACGACAGGGACGAGCCCUUUAAUACUGUCCACAUAAAAAAAAUAAUAAUACUGCGCACACGGGAAACUGGUCUAUUUCAUAAAUAAAAUCGCUAUCCAAAUUAUUAUAUUGUUGUGCUACAUUAUUGGUGCUGUUAGUGUAUGGUGCAGAUGAAAUCCGGGCUUUGAAGUCCACUCAGAGGCCUAUAAAAGGCACUCCGGUCCGAAGCACAGUUUAGGCGCACAGCAAAAGUUCAGCUGUGAGUUGUAUUGCAUUCUACAUUUUGGACUUCAUCAUUGAGUCCUUAUAACUGGAGUAAAGGAGGGGGGAUCAAGAAUUCUGAGACAUGAUUGAUUGGAUUUGGAUCCUGAUGUUACAAAUCAUUCUUCUGCCAGCCCAGGUGUGCAGAAAAGUGUGGAAUCAUCUUCGGCUGGAAACCAUGAAAUAUGAGAUGCGUGAUCUGAACCAGCAGUAUGUUCUUCCGGACAAUGUAUUACAGAGGUUGUAUUCAUAUGAUUAGUAUAGUUAAGUAACUAAGGAUUUAGACUUUUGUCCGGUACACCAAACGGAAAAGUUGUAAACGUUAUCUCUACUCAUCCCUAGGAAAAAGAAGGGGGAGUGGGAUUUAUGAAUACUGAUUCAUGGUCCCUUAUUAUGUCCCGGCUUCCGAGUGUUAUUUGACAUUAGGACCCUCUGUUCCUUCUAUGUAUGCCCUUGUUCACAAUGAAAUAAAUUACACACGAUUUCCUUGUAGCUGAUUGGAAAGCUCGUCUUUUCCUUCUUUAAUAAAGCUAAUCAAAGGCUUUGGGCUGGUC